GUUGGUUUGGAAGUACAAACCUAUUUAUGCAAGGCAAGUUAAAGCAGUUCACCAUUAAGUGUUAUCCAAGAUACCUUCAUUGCGAAUUCCUUCUAAUUUAGUUCCCAUAAGUACGUACGAAAGAAAACUAACUAUACCGCCAUAUGGCAACUUAAAAAAUUAAAAGGAUAUAACAUGUCUAAUACAAUGACUGGUACUGUAAAAUGGUUUAACAAUGAUAAAGGUUUCGGCUUUAUCUCUCCAAAAGAUGGCAGCAAAGAUGUAUUCGUACAUUUCUCUGCAAUUCAAAGUAAUAGCUUCAAAAGCCUGAACGAAGGACAAGAAGUGUCUUUCACUAUCGAAAAUGGCGCUAAAGGCCCAGCUGCAGCUAACGUUGUAGCGCUUUAAUUAAAGCCUAAAGAUAGAUAAAUUCAGUAAAAUGAAUUCCCAAGACCUCGCCCAUGCGGGGUCUUUUGCU
RNAcentral lists this small RNA (457 nucleotides) under Providencia sneebia DSM 19967. Its description in RNAcentral is "cspA thermoregulator". It matches the Rfam family "cspA thermoregulator". The record is from Rfam by way of RNAcentral. Lineage: Bacteria; Pseudomonadati; Pseudomonadota; Gammaproteobacteria; Enterobacterales; Morganellaceae.